Molecule: ribosomal RNA, 254 nt
Filed under: uncultured bacterium
Lineage: Bacteria
Description: partial 16S ribosomal RNA
Rfam family: Bacterial small subunit ribosomal RNA
Source: RNAcentral
CACGUAGGGCGCAAGCGUUGUCCGGAAUUAUUGGGCGUAAAGAGCUCGUAGGCGGUCUGUUGCGUCCGCUGUGAAAACCCGGGGGCUUAACCCUGGGCUGGCAGUGGAUACGGACAGACUAGAGGUAGGUAGGGGAGAAUGGAAUUCCCGGUGUAGCGGUGAAAUGCGCAGAUAUCGGGAGGAACACCGGUGGCGAAGGCGGUUCUCUGGGCCUUACCUGACGCUGAGGUGCGAAAGCGUGGGGAGCAAACAGG